Molecule: long non-coding RNA, 6046 nt
Filed under: Mus musculus (house mouse)
Lineage: Eukaryota; Metazoa; Chordata; Mammalia; Rodentia; Muridae
Description: predicted gene, 47578
Source: RNAcentral
UAGGCCAUCUUUUGAUAUAUAUGCAGCUAGAGUCAAGAGCUCCGGGGUACUGGUUAGCUCAUAAUGUUGUUCCACCUAUAGGGUUGCAGAUCCCUUUAGCUCCUUGGCUACUUUCUCUAGCUCCUCCAUUGGGAGCCCUAUGAUCCAUCCAUUAGCUGACUGUGAGCAUCCACUUCUGUGUUUGCUGGGCCCCGGCCUAGUCUCACAAGAGACAGCUACAUCUGCGUCCUUUCAAUAAAAUCUUGCUAGUGUAUGCAAUGGUGUCAGCGUUUGGAUGCUGAUUAUGGGGUGGAUCCCUGGAUAUGGCAGUCUCUACAUGGUCCAUCCUUUAAUCUCAGCUCAAAACUCCGUCUCUGUAACUCCUUCCAUGGGUGUUUUGUUCCCAAAUCUAAGGAGGGGCAUAGUGUCCACACUUCAGUCUUCAUUCUUCUUGAGUUUCAUGUGUUUAGCAAAUUAUAUCUUAUAUCUUGGGUAUCCUAGGUUUGGGGCUAAUAUCCACUUAUCAGUGAAUACAUAUUGUGUGAAUUUCUUUGUGAAUGUGUUACCUCACUCAGGAUGGUGCCCUCCAAGUCCAUCCAUUUGGCUAGGAAUUUCAUAAAUUCAUUCUUUUUAAUAGCUGAGUAGUACUCCAUUGUGUAGAUGUACCACAUUUUCUGUAUCCAUUCCUCUGUUGAGGGGCAUCUAGGUUCUUUCCAGCUUCUGGCUAUUAUAAAUAAGGCUGCUAUGAACAUAGUGGAGCAUGUGUCCUUCUUACCUGUUGGGGCAUCUUCUGGAUAUAUGCCCAGGAGAGGUAUUGCUGGAUCCUCCGGUAGUACUAUGUCCAGUUUUCUGAGGAACCGCCAGACUGAUUUCCAGAGUGGUUGUACAAGCCUGCACUCCCACCAACAAUGGAGGAGUGUUCCUCUUUCUCCACAUCCUCGCCAGCAUCUGCUGUCACCUGAAUUUUUGAUCUUAGCCAUUCUGACUGGUGUGAGGUGGAAUCUCAGGGUUGUUUUGAUUUGCAUUUCCCUGAUGAUUAAGGAUGUUGAACAUUUUUUCAAGUGCUUCUCUGCCAUUCGGUAUUCCUCAGGUGAGAAUUCUUUGUUCAGUUCUGAGCCCCAUUUUUUAAUGGGGUUAUUUGAUUUUCUGAAGUCCACCUUCUUGAGUUCUUUAUAUAUGUUGGAUAUUAGUCCCCUAUCUGAUUUAGGAUAGGUAAAGAUCCUUUCCCAAUCUGUUGGUGGUCUUUUUGUCUUAUUGACGGUGUCUUUUGCCUUGCAGAAACUUUGGAGUUUUAUUAGGUCCCAUUUGUCAAUUCUCGAUCUUACAGCACAAGCCAUUGCUAUUCUGUUCAGGAAUUUUUCCCCUGUGCCCAUAUCUUCAAGGCUUUUCCCCACUUUCUCCUCUAUAAGUUUCAGUGUCUCUGGUUUUAUGUGAAGUUCCUUGAUCCACUUAGAUUUGACCUUAGUACAAGGAGAUAAGUAUGGAUCGAUUCGCAUUCUUCUACACGAUAACAACCAGUUGUGCCAGCACCAAUUGUUGAAAAUGCUGUCUUUCUUCCACUGGAUGGUUUUAGCUCCCUUGUCGAAGAUCAAGUGACCAUAGGUGUGUGGGUUCAUUUCUGGGUCUUCAAUUCUAUUCCAUUGGUCUACUUGUCUGUCUCUAUACCAGUACCAUGCAGUUUUUAUCACAAUUGCUCUGUAGUAAAGCUUUAGGUCUGGCAUGGUGAUUCCGCCAGAAGUUCUUUUAUCCUUGAGAAGACUUUUUGCUAUCCUAGGUUUUUUGUUAUUCCAGACAAAUUUGCAAAUUGCUCCUUCCAAUUCGUUGAAGAAUUGAGUUGGAAUUUUGAUGGGGAUUGCAUUGAAUCUGUAGAUUGCUUUUGGCAAGAUAGCCAUUUUUACAAUGUUGAUCCUGCCAAUCCAUGAGCAUGGGAGAUCUUUCCAUCUUCUGAGAUCUUCCUUAAUUUCUUUCUUCAGAGAUUUGAAGUUUUUAUCAUACAGAUCUUUCACUUCCUUAGUUAGAGUCACGCCAAGAUAUUUUAUAUUAUUUGUGACUAUUGAGAAGGGUGUUGUUUCCCUAAUUUCUUUCUCAGCCUGUUUAUUCUUUGUAUAGAGAAAGGCCAUUGACUUGUUUGAGUUUAUUUUAUAUCCAGCUACUUCACCGAAGCUGUUUAUCAGGUUUAGGAGUUCUCUGGUAGAAUUUUUAGGGUCACUUAUAUAUACUAUCAUAUCAUCUGCAAAAAGUGAUAUUUUGACUUCCUCUUUUCCAAUUUGUAUCCCCUUGAUCUCCUUUUGUUGUCGAAUUGCUCUGGCUAAUACUUCAAGUACUAUGUUUAAAAGGUAGGGAGAAAGUGGGCAGCCUUGUCUAGUCCCUGAUUUUAGUGGGAUUGCUUCCAGCUUCUCUCCAUUUACUUUGAUGUUGGCUACUGGUUUGCUGUAGAUUGCUUUUAUUAUGUUUAGGUAUGGGCCUUGAAUUCCUGAUCUUUCCAAAACUUUUAUCAUGAAUGGGUGUUGGAUCUUGUCAAAUGCUUUUUCUGCAUCUAACGAGAUGAUCAUGUGGUUUUUGUCUUUGAGUUUGUUUAUAUAAUGGAUUACAUUGAUGGAUUUUCGUAUAUUAAACCAUCCCUGCAUCCCUGGAAUAAAACCUACUUGGUCAGGAUGGAUGAUUGCUUUAAUGUGUUCUUGAAUUCGGUUAGCGAGAAUUUUAUUGAGGAUUUUUGCAUCGAUAUUCAUAAGAGAAAUUGGUCUGAAGUUCUCUAUCUUUGUUGGGUCUUUCUGUGGUUUAGGUAUCAGAGUAAUAGUGGCUUCAUAAAAUGAGUUGGGUAGAGUACCUUCUACUUCUAUUUUGUGAAAUAGUUUGUGCAGAAUUGGAAUUAGAUCUUCUUUGAAGGUCUGGUAGAACUCUGCACUAAACCCAUCUGGUCCUGGGCUUUUUUUGGUUGGGAGACUAUUAAUAACUGCUUCUAUUUCUUUAGGUGAUAUGGGACUGUUUAGAUGGUCAACUUGAUCCUGAUUCAACUUUGGUACCUGGUAUCUGUCCAGAAAUUUGUCCAUUUCGUCCAGGUUUUCCAGUUUUGUUGAGUAUAGCCUUUUGUAGAAGGAUCUGAUGGUGUUUUGGAUUUCUUCAGGAUCUGUUGUUAUGUCUCCCUUUUUAUUUCUGAUUUUGUUAAUUAGGAUUUUGUCCCUGUGCCCUUUAGUGAGUCUAGCUAAGGGUUUAUCUAUCUUGUUGAUUUUCUCAAAGAACCAACUCCUCGUUUGGUUAAUUCUUUGAAUAGUUCUUCUUGUUUCCACUUGGUUGACUUCACCCCUGAGUUUGAUUAUUUCCUGCCGUCUACUCCUCUUGGGUGAAUUUGCUUCCUUUUUUUCUAGGGCUUUUAGAUGUGUUGUCAAGCUGCUAGUAUGUGCUGUCUCCCGUUUCUUCUUGGAGGCACUCAGAGCUAUGAGUUUCCCUCUUAGAAAUGCUUUCAUUGUGUCCCAUAGGUUUGGGUACGUUGUGGCUUCAUUUUCAUUAAACUCUAAAAAGUCUUUAAUUUCUUUCUUUAUUCCUUCCUUGACCAAGGUAUCAUUGAGAAGAGUGUUAUUCAGUUUCCACGUGAAUGUUGGCUUUCCAUUAUUUAUGUUGUUAUUGAAGAUCAGUCUUAGGCCAUGGUGGUCUGAUAGGAUACAUGGGACAAUUUCAAUAUUUUUGUAUCUAUUGAGGCCUGUUUUGUGACCAAUUAUAUGGUCAAUUUUGGAGAAGGUCCCGUGAGGUGCUGAGAAGAAGGUAUAUCCUUUUGUUUUAGGAUAAAAUGUUCUGUAGAUAUCUGUCAGGUCCAUUUGUUUCAUAACUUCUGUUAGUUUCACUGUGUCCCUGUUUAGUUUCUGUUUCCACGAUCUGUCCUUUGAAGAAAGUGGUGUGUUGAAGUCUCCCACUAUUAUUGUGUGAGGUGCAAUGUAUGCUUUGAGCUUUACUAAAGUAUCUCUAAUGAAUGUGGCUGCCCUUGCAUUUGGUGCGUAGAUAUUCAAAAUUGAGAGUUCCUCUUGGAGGAUUUUACCUUUGAUGAGUAUGAAGUGUCCCUCCUUGUCUUUUUUGAUAACUUUGGGUUGGAAGUCGAUUUUAUCCGAUAUUAAAAUGGCUACUCCAGCUUGUUUCUUCAGUCCAUUUGCUUGGAAAAUUGUUUUCCAGCCUUUCAUUCUGAGGUAGUGUCUGUCUUUUUCCCUGAGAUGGGUUUCCUGUAAGCAGCAGAAUGUUGGGUCCUGUUUGUGUAGCCAGUCUGUUAGUCUAUGUCUUUUUAUUGGGGAAUUGAGUCCAUUGAUAUUAAGAGGUAUUAAGGAAAAGUAAUUGUUGCUCCCUUUUAUUUUUGUUGUUAGAGUUGGCAUUCUGUUCUUGUGGCUGUCUUCUUUUUGGUUUGUUGAAUGAUUACUUUCUUGGUUGUUCUAGGGCGUGAUUUCCGUCCUUGUAUUGCUUCUUUUCUUUUAUUAUCCUUUGAAGGGCUGGAUUCGUGGAAAGAUAUUGUGUGAACUUGGUUUUGUCGUGGAAUACUUUGGUUUCUCCAUCUAUGGUAAUUGAGAGUUUGGCCGGGUAUAGUAGCCUGGGCUGGCAUUUGUGUUCUCUUAGUGUCUGUAUAACAUCUGUCCAGGCUCUUCUGGCUUUCAUAGUCUCUGGUGAAAAGUCUGGUGUAAUUCUGAUCGGCCUUCCUUUAUAUGUUACUUGACCUUUCUCCCUUACUGCUUUUAAUAUUCUAUCUUUAUUUAGUGCAUUUGUUGUUCUGAUUAUUAUGUGUCGGGAGGAAUUUCUUUUCUGGUCCAGUCUAUUUGGAGUUCUGUAUGCUUCUUGUAUGAUCAUGGGCAUCUCUUUUUUUAUGUUUGGGAAGUUUUCUUCUAUUAUUUUGUUGAAGAUAUUAGCUGGCCCUUUAAGUUGAAAAUCUUCAUUCUCAUCAAUUCCUAUUAUCCUUAGGUUUGGUCUUCUCAUUGUGUCCUGGAUUACCUGGAUGUUUUGAGUUAGGAUCCUUUUGCAUUUUGUAUUUUCUUUGACUGUUGUGUCGAUGUUCUCUAUGGAAUCUUCUGCACCUGAGAUUCUCUCUUCCAUUUCUUGUAUUCUGUUGCUGAUGCUCGCAUCUAUGGUUCCAGAUCUCUUUCCUAGGGUUUCUAUCUCCAGCGUUGCCUCGCUUUGGGUUUUCUUUAUUGUGUCUACUUCCCCUUUUAGUUCUAGUAUGGUUUUGUUCAUUUCCAUCACCUGUUUGGCUGUGUUUUCCUGCUUUUCUUUAAGAGCCUGUAACUCUUUAGCAGUGCUCUCCUGUAAAUCUUUAAGUGACUUAUGAAAGUCCUUCUUGAUGUCCUCUAUCAUCAUCAUGAGAAAUGUUUUUAAAUCUGGGUCUAGAUUUUCGGUUGUGUUGGGGUGCCCAGGACUAGGUGGGGUGGGAGUGCUGCGUUCUGAUGAUGGUGAGUGGUCUUGAUUUCUGUUAGUAGGAUUCUUACGUUUGCCUUUCGCCAUCUGGUAAUCUCUGAAGCUAGCUGUUUUAGUUGUCACUGUUAAGAGCUUGUUCUUCAGGUGACUCUGUUAGCCUCUAUGAGCAGACCUGGAGGGUAGCACUCUCCUUAGUUUCAGUGGGCAGAGUAUUCUCUGCAGGCAAGCUCUCUUCUUGCAAGGCAGGUACCCAGAUAUCUGGUGUUCGAACCAGACUCCUGGCAGAAGUUGUGUUCCACUCACUAGAGGUCUUAGGAUCACGUGUGGAAUCCUGUGUGGGCCCUUGCGGGUGUCAGGCGACUCAGCUGGCAAGGUAGCCCGGGGCUCGAGUGGAGUGGAAGGGGUUUGUGCCCCAGAUCAAGCCCGGGUAGCCUGCUUCCCUAUGUACCACAGUCUCAGGUUCCGCGCGAUUGGAUUGGGGCAGGCGCUGUGUUCCACUCACCAGAGGUCUUAGGGUCCCGUGGGGAGUCCCGUGUGGGCCCUUGCGGGUGUUGGGCAAGACUCUGCUGGCAAGGUAGCCCGGGGCUGGAGUCUCGAGUCGAGCGGAAGGGACUUGUGCCCCAGAUCAGGCCCGGGUAGCCUGCUUCCCUAUGUACCGCAGUCUCAAGUUCCUCGCAAUUGGAUU